Molecule: small nuclear RNA, 163 nt
Organism: Lampris incognitus (smalleye Pacific opah)
Lineage: Eukaryota; Metazoa; Chordata; Actinopteri; Lampriformes; Lampridae
Product: U1 spliceosomal RNA
Exons: 1
Source: RefSeq, a predicted model, not a curated record
GUACAUACCUGGCAGGGGAGACACCAUGAUUAGGAAGGUGGUCCACCCACGGCGAGGUUUAGCCAGAGCACUACAGCUGUCUAACCCGUGAGAAUUCACCAAAUGUGGAAAUCUCAACUGUGUAAUUACUGGUAGCGGGGGAGUGCGUUUGCACUCUCCCCUG